This 473-nucleotide ribosomal RNA is filed under the name Triops granarius. RNAcentral's name for it is "partial 16S ribosomal RNA". It matches the Rfam family "Bacterial large subunit ribosomal RNA", at positions 1912 to 2597 of the family's 2925-position model. The record is from RNAcentral. Lineage: Eukaryota; Metazoa; Arthropoda; Branchiopoda; Notostraca; Triopsidae.
UAUGAGGAUAUUUAAAUGGCCGCGGUAUUUUGACCGUGCGAAGGUAGCAUAAUCAUUAGUCUUUUGAUUGAAGGCUGGUAUGAAUGGUUGGACGAGAAAAUUUCUGUCUCUAUUAUAUAUUUUGAAUUUUAUUUUUAAGUGAAAAAGCUUAGAUAUUUUUGGGGGACGAUAAGACCCUAUGGAUCUUUAUAAUGACAGGUAGUGAAAAGUUUAGUUGUCACAGCUUAUUAUCUUUAGUUAUUGAGUUGGGGCGACUGGAAGAAAUGAUUAUCUCUUCUUAAAUUUAAAUACUUAUGUUUAGAAAUAAAUUGACCCUUAAUUUUGGUCUAUAAGACUAAGUUACCCUAGGGAUAACAGCGUAAUCUUUUUGGAGAGUUCAUAUCGAUGAAAAGGUUUGCGACCUCGAUGUUGGAUUAAGAGAUCCUUACGGCGUAGCCGUUGUAAUGGAAAGUCUGUUCGACUUUUAAAUUCUU